RNAcentral lists this transfer RNA (69 nucleotides) under Dermestes frischii. RNAcentral's name for it is "tRNA-Phe". It matches the Rfam family "tRNA". Rfam says of the family: Transfer RNA (tRNA) molecules are approximately 80 nucleotides in length. Their secondary structure includes four short double-helical elements and three loops (D, anti-codon, and T loops). The record is from RNAcentral. Lineage: Eukaryota; Metazoa; Arthropoda; Insecta; Coleoptera; Dermestidae.
UAUUCUAAUAGCUUAUUUUUAGAGCAUUACACUGAAGAUGUAAAGGAAACAUUUUUGUUUUAGAAUAUC